Molecule: ribosomal RNA, 2927 nt
Filed under: Cronobacter sakazakii
Lineage: Bacteria; Pseudomonadati; Pseudomonadota; Gammaproteobacteria; Enterobacterales; Enterobacteriaceae
Description: bacterial LSU rRNA
Rfam family: Bacterial large subunit ribosomal RNA
Source: RNAcentral
GGGUUGUGAGGUUAAGCGAACAAGCGUACACGGUGGAUGCCCUGGCAGUCAGAGGCGAUGAAGGACGUGCUAAUCUGCGAAAAGCGCCGGUAAGGUGAUAUGAACCGUUAUAACCGGCGAUGUCCGAAUGGGGAAACCCGGUGCACUUCGGUGCAUCAUCGUUAGCUGAAUACAUAGGCUAACGAGGCGAACCGGGGGAACUGAAACAUCUAAGUACCCCGAGGAAAAGAAAUCAACCGAGAUUCCCCCAGUAGCGGCGAGCGAACGGGGAACAGCCCAGAGCCUGAAUCAGCUUGUGUGUCAGUGGAACGGUCUGGAAAGGCCGGCGAUACAGGGUGACAGCCCCGUACACGAAGGCACACAGGCUGUGAGCUCGAUGAGUAGGGCGGGACACGUGAUAUCCUGUCUGAAGAUGGGGGGACCAUCCUCCAAGGCUAAAUACUCCUGACUGACCGAUAGUGAACCAGUACCGUGAGGGAAAGGCGAAAAGAACCCCGGCGAGGGGAGUGAAACAGAACCUGAAACCGUGUACGUACAAGCAGUGGGAGCCUUCGUAAGAGGGUGACUGCGUACCUUUUGUAUAAUGGGUCAGCGACUUAUAUUCUGUAGCAAGGUUAACCGUAUAGGGGAGCCGAAGGGAAACCGAGUCUUAACCGGGCGUUAAGUUGCAGGGUAUAGACCCGAAACCCGGUGAUCUAGCCAUGGGCAGGUUGAAGGUUGGGUAACACUAACUGGAGGACCGAACCGACUAAUGUUGAAAAAUUAGCGGAUGACCUGUGGCUGGGGGUGAAAGGCCAAUCAAACCGGGAGAUAGCUGGUUCUCCCCGAAAGCUAUUUAGGUAGCGCCUCGUGAACUCAUCUCCGGGGGUAGAGCACUGUUUCGGCUAGGGGGCCAUCCCGGCUUACCAACCCGAUGCAAACUGCGAAUACCGGAGAAUGUUAUCACGGGAGACACACGGCGGGUGCUAACGUCCGUCGUGAAGAGGGAAACAACCCAGACCGCCAGCUAAGGUCCCAAAGUCAUGGUUAAGUGGGAAACGAUGUGGGAAGGCCCAGACAGCCAGGAUGUUGGCUUAGAAGCAGCCAUCAUUUAAAGAAAGCGUAAUAGCUCACUGGUCGAGUCGGCCUGCGCGGAAGAUGUAACGGGGCUAAACCAUGCACCGAAGCUGCGGCAGCGACACUCUGUGUUGUUGGGUAGGGGAGCGUUCUGUAAGCCUGUGAAGGUGUGCUGUGAGGCAUGCUGGAGGUAUCAGAAGUGCGAAUGCUGACAUAAGUAACGAUAAAGCGGGUGAAAAGCCCGCUCGCCGGAAGACCAAGGGUUCCUGUCCAACGUUAAUCGGGGCAGGGUGAGUCGACCCCUAAGGCGAGGCCGAAAGGCGUAGUCGAUGGGAAACAGGUUAAUAUUCCUGUACUUGGUGUUACUGCGAAGGGGGGACGGAGAAGGCUAUGUCGGCCGGGCGACGGUUGUCCCGGUUUAAGCGUGUAGGCUGACUUUCCAGGCAAAUCCGGAAAGUUAAGGCUGAGGCGUGAUGACGAGGCACCACGGUGCUGAAGUGACAAAUGCCCUGCUUCCAGGAAAAGCCUCUAAGCAUCAGGUAACAUCAAAUCGUACCCCAAACCGACACAGGUGGUCAGGUAGAGAAUACCAAGGCGCUUGAGAGAACUCGGGUGAAGGAACUAGGCAAAAUGGUGCCGUAACUUCGGGAGAAGGCACGCUGACAUGUAGGUGAAGCCCCUGCGGGUGGAGCUGAAGUCAGUCGAAGAUACCAGCUGGCUGCAACUGUUUAUUAAAAACACAGCACUGUGCAAACACGAAAGUGGACGUAUACGGUGUGACGCCUGCCCGGUGCCGGAAGGUUAAUUGAUGGGGUUAUCGCAAGAGAAGCUCCUGAUCGAAGCCCCGGUAAACGGCGGCCGUAACUAUAACGGUCCUAAGGUAGCGAAAUUCCUUGUCGGGUAAGUUCCGACCUGCACGAAUGGCGUAAUGAUGGCCAGGCUGUCUCCACCCGAGACUCAGUGAAAUUGAACUCGCUGUGAAGAUGCAGUGUACCCGCGGCAAGACGGAAAGACCCCGUGAACCUUUACUACAGCUUGACACUGAACAUUGAGCCUUGAUGUGUAGGAUAGGUGGGAGGCUUUGAAGCGUGGACGCCAGUCUGCGUGGAGCCGACCUUGAAAUACCACCCUUUAAUGUUUGAUGUUCUAACCUGGCGCCGUAAUCCGGCGUGGGGACAGUGUCUGGUGGGUAGUUUGACUGGGGCGGUCUCCUCCCAAAGUGUAACGGAGGAGCACGAAGGUCAGCUAAUCCUGGUCGGACAUCAGGAGGUUAGUGCAAUGGCAUAAGCUGGCUUGACUGCGAGAGUGACGGCUCGAGCAGGUGCGAAAGCAGGUCAUAGUGAUCCGGUGGUUCUGUAUGGAAGGGCCAUCGCUCAACGGAUAAAAGGUACUCCGGGGAUAACAGGCUGAUACCGCCCAAGAGUUCAUAUCGACGGCGGUGUUUGGCACCUCGAUGUCGGCUCAUCACAUCCUGGGGCUGAAGUAGGUCCCAAGGGUAUGGCUGUUCGCCAUUUAAAGUGGUACGCGAGCUGGGUUUAGAACGUCGUGAGACAGUUCGGUCCCUAUCUGCCGUGGGCGCUGGAGAAUUGAGGGGGGCUGCUCCCAGUACGAGAGGACCGGAGUGGACGCAUCACUGGUGUUCGGGUUGUCAUGCCAAUGGCACUGCCCGGUAGCUAAAUGCGGAAGAGAUAAGUGCUGAAAGCAUCUAAGCACGAAACUUGCCCCGAGAUGAGUUCUCCCUGAGACUAUAAGUCUCCUGAAGGAACGUUGAAGACGACGACGUUGAUAGGCCGGGUGUGUAAGCGCAGCGAUGCGUUGAGCUAACCGGUACUAAUGAACCGUGAGGCUUAACCUUACAACGCCAAAGAAGU